GCAGGGGAUAUUGCGCAAUGGGCGAAAGCCUGACGCAGCAACGCCGCGUGGAGGAAGAAGGCCUUCGGGUUGUAAACUCCUUUUCUCGGGGAAGAAGCAAGCGACGGUACCCGAGGAAUAAGUCUCGGCCAACUACGUGCCAGCAGCCGCGGUAAUACGUAGGAGGCAAGCGUUAUCCGGAAUUAUUGGGCGUAAAGGGCGUGUAGGCGGCUCCCAAAGUCUAUAGUGAAAUCUCCCGGCUUAACUGGGAGGGGGCUAUGGAUACUUGGGGGCUUGAGGGCAGCAGAGGGAGAUGGAAUUCCCGGUGUAGUGGUGAAAUGCGUAGAUAUCGGGAGGAACACCAGUGGCGAAAGCGGUCUCCUGGGCUGUACCUGACGCUGAGGCGCGAAAGCGUGGGGAGCAAACAGGAUUAGAAACCCCAGUAGUCC
Molecule: ribosomal RNA, 428 nt
Filed under: uncultured bacterium
Lineage: Bacteria
Description: bacterial SSU rRNA
Rfam family: Bacterial small subunit ribosomal RNA
Source: RNAcentral